GCCGGGACGCGUGUGCUGCCCAAGAUGGCGGCGUCCGCGCCCGGCCGGUGCUGCCCGUGCGGAGCGGCGGUGGCGGCUGACGGGCGCAGCUCCGAGGGACGCGUCCGAACUCGCUGGUUUCGGUAUUGCGAUACAUCUGUCCAAGAUGAGAGCCAAGGACUAAAGAUGAACUGGACACAAAUCGCAGCAAAUCGCAUGCCUUUCCUUCAAUUCCUGAGUGUGCACUGACAUCGUAAGAAAAGAAAAGCGCAGACUUAUUUACUGUUGUUAAAAAGAAAAAGGCUAGAGCCUAGAGUAGGACCAAGCACUGCUGGCUGUAGUCCAAGCCCUGUCCUACUGAAAAUGGAAAAGAAAAUAAAGAAACAACACCUGUGUCUGGAGCAAUGAUACAUUGGAAUGGGAUCUUGCCUUGCUG
Molecule: long non-coding RNA, 415 nt
Organism: Sorex araneus (European shrew)
Lineage: Eukaryota; Metazoa; Chordata; Mammalia; Eulipotyphla; Soricidae
Exons: 3
Source: RefSeq, a predicted model, not a curated record